RNAcentral lists this ribosomal RNA (1427 nucleotides) under metagenome. RNAcentral describes it as "bacterial SSU rRNA". It matches the Rfam family "Archaeal small subunit ribosomal RNA". The record is from RNAcentral.
ACCCGUUGAUCCUGCGGGAGAUUGCGGCUAUUAGGAUUCGACUUAGACAUGCAAGUCUUCCAGCAAUGGGGGCAAAAUGCUCAGUAACACGUCGGUAAUCUGCCCUUAGGUCGGGAAUAACCUCGGGAAACUGAGAUUAAAACCUGAUAAGAGGAAAGGUCUGGAAUGAUCUUCCUCCCAAACUUGUGCCUAAGGAUGAGCCGGCGGCUGAUUAGGCAGUUGGUGGGGUAAUGGCCUACCAAACCUAUGAUCAGUACGGGCCAUGAGAGUGGUAGCCCGGAGAAGGACACUGAGAUACUGGUCCUAGCCCUACGGGGUGCAGCAGUCGCGAAACCUUUACAAUGCACGCAAGUGUGAUAAGGGGAUCCUAAGUGCUCAUGCUUAGCAUGGGCUUUUUUUCAAGGCUAAAUACCUUGGAGAAUAAGUGGUGGGUAAGACUGGUGCCAGCCGCCGCGGUAACACCAGCGCCACGAGUCGCAGUCGCGAUUAUUGGGCCUAAAGCGUCCGUAGCCGGACUAGUAAAUCUUUUGUGAAAUCGUCAAGCUCAACUUGACGGCGUGCAGAAGACACUACUAGUCUUGAGACCGGGAGGAGUCAGAAGUAUUCUUGGGGGAACGGUAAAAUGUUAUAAUCCCAGGAGGACUACCGAUGGCGAAGGCAUCUGACCAGAACGGAUCUGACGGUGAGGGACGAAAGCUAGGGGAGCGAACCGGAUUAGAUACCCGAGUAGUCCUAGCCGUAAACGCUGUGAGCUAGGUGUUGCAUAUUCUUCGAGAAUGUGCAGUGUCGAAACGAAGGUGUUAAGCUCACCGCCUGGGAAGUACGGUCGCAAGACUGAAACUUUAAGGAAUUGGCGGGGGAGCACCACAAGGGGUGCGGCGUGCGGUUUAAUCUAAUUCAACGCAGAGAACCUUACUAGCGGCGACGGCAGAAUGAAAGUCAUGCUGAAGACAUUACUUGACAAGCCGAGAGGUAGUGCAUGGCCAUCGUCAGCUCGUGCUGUAAAGUGUCCUCUUAAGUGAGGCAACGAGCGAGACCUGUACCUACAAUUGCUAACAACCUCAUGAGGGAUUGAGCACAUUGUAGGAACUGCCCUGGAAACAGGGAGGAAGGUGCAGGCUACGGUAGGUCUGUAUGCUCCGAAUCCGCUAGGCUACACGCGCGCAACAAUGACAGAGACAAUGGGCUGCAACUCCGAAAGGAGAAGCUAAUCCUCUAAACUCUGCCUUAGUUUAGAUUGAGGUUUGCAACUUAGCCUCAUGACACUGGAAUCCCUAGUAAUUGGAGCUCAUCAUACUCCAGUGAAUAUGUCCCUGCUCCUUGCACACACCGCCCGUCAAGCCAACCGAGCAGGGUUUAGGUAAAAUUCAACUUAUUGGUUGAAUUGAAUCUAAGCUCAGUGAGGUGGGCUAAGUCGUCACAAGGUA